This 579-nucleotide non-coding RNA is filed under the name Ampelozizyphus amazonicus. RNAcentral's name for it is "partial transfer RNA-Leu(UAA)". The stretch from base 1 to 504 matches the Rfam family "Group I catalytic intron". From Rfam's summary of the family: Group I catalytic introns are large self-splicing ribozymes. They catalyse their own excision from mRNA, tRNA and rRNA precursors in a wide range of organisms. The core secondary structure consists of 9 paired regions (P1-P9). The record is from RNAcentral. Lineage: Eukaryota; Viridiplantae; Streptophyta; Magnoliopsida; Rosales; Rhamnaceae.
UUGGAUGAGCUUGGUAUGGAACCUACCAAGUGAUAACUUUCAAAUUCAGAGAAACCCUAGAAUUAAAAAUGGGCAAUCCUGAGCCAAAUCCCGUUUUCUGAAAACAAACGAAGGUUCGGAAAGCGAUAAUAAAAAAGGACAGAUAGGAUAGGUGCAGAGACUCAAUGGAAGCUGUUCUAACAAAGGGAGUUACCUACGAUGCGUUAGUAAAGUAAAGAAAUCCUUCCAUCGAAACGCCAGAAAGGACGAAGAAUAAACCUAUAUAUACGUAUACAUAGUGAAAUACUAUCUUCAAACCAAAUGAUUAAUGAAGACCCCAAUCUUUUUUUUAUUUAUAUGUAUAUGAAAAAUGAAAGAAUUGUUGUGAAUCAAUUCCAGGCUGAAAAAAGAAUCGAAUAUUCAUUGAUCAAAUUAUUUACUCCGUCGUAAUCUGAUAGAUCUUUUGAAAAAUUGAUUAAUCGGACGAGAAUAAAGAUAGAGUCCCAUUCUACAUGUCAAUAUCGACAACAAUGAAAUUUAUAGUAAGAGGAAAAUCCGUCGACUUUAGAAAUCGUGAGGGUUCAAGUCCCUCUAUCCCCA